CCUACGGGUGGCUGCAGUGGGGAAUAUUGGACAAUGGGGGCAACCCUGAUCCAGCCAUGCCGCGUGUGUGAAGAAGGCCCUCGGGUUGUAAAGCACUUUCAGUGAGGAAGAACGCCUGGUGGUUAAUACCCAUCAGGAAAGACAUCACUCACAGAAGAAGCACCGGCUAACUCCGUGCCAGCAGCCGCGGUAAUACGGAGGGUGCGAGCGUUAAUCGGAAUUACUGGGCGUAAAGCGCGCGUAGGUGGCUUGAUAAGCCGGUUGUGAAAGCCCCGGGCUCAACCUGGGAACGGCAUCCGGAACUGUCAAGCUAGAGUGCAGGAGAGGAAGGUAGAAUUCCCGGUGUAGCGGUGAAAUGCGUAGAGAUCGGGAGGAAUACCAGUGGCGAAGGCGGCCUUCUGGACUGACACUGACACUGAGGGGCGAAAGCGUGGGUAGCAAACAGGAUUAGAUACCCCUGUAGUC
RNAcentral lists this ribosomal RNA (465 nucleotides) under Vreelandella stevensii. Its description in RNAcentral is "partial 16S ribosomal RNA". It matches the Rfam family "Bacterial small subunit ribosomal RNA", at positions 338 to 795 of the family's 1533-position model. Lineage: Bacteria; Pseudomonadati; Pseudomonadota; Gammaproteobacteria; Oceanospirillales; Halomonadaceae. The record is from RNAcentral.